GCUAGCUACAGGCUUAACACAUGCAAGUCGAGGGGUAGCAGGGUAGCAAUACCGCUGACGACCGGCGCACGGGUGAGUAACACGUAUCCAACCUUCCCAUAACUCGGGGAUAGCCUUUCGAAAGAAAGAUUAAUACCCGAUAGUACUUUUUCAAGGCAUCUUGAGAAAGUUAAAGAUUUAUUGGUUAUGGAUGGGGAUGCGUUCCAUUAGAUAGUUGGUGAGGUAACGGCUCACCAAGUCUUCGAUGGAUAGGGGUUCUGAGAGGAAGGUCCCCCACAUUGGUACUGAGACACGGACCAAACUCCUACGGGAGGCAGCAGUGAGGAAUAUUGGUCAAUGGGCGAGAGCCUGAACCAGCCAAGUAGCGUGAAGGAUGAAGGUCCUAUGGAUUGUAAACCUCUUUUAUAGCAGAAUAAAGUGACCCACGUGUGGGUUUUUGUAUGUAUACUAUGAAUAAGGAUCGGCUAACUCCGUGCCAGCAGCCGCGGUAAUACAGAGGAUCC
RNAcentral lists this ribosomal RNA (503 nucleotides) under anaerobic bacterium U3/B-1. RNAcentral describes it as "bacterial SSU rRNA". It matches the Rfam family "Bacterial small subunit ribosomal RNA", at positions 35 to 535 of the family's 1533-position model. The record is from RNAcentral.